GGCGGGGCCUCGUCAGUCGCCAUGUUGAGAGCGCCGUGUCGCGGACUCGCUUGACCUUCUCAAGGUGGCGGCAUAAAGGGCGGAUAAAUCGAGGUGCCCCCUCCGUGCCGGAGAGUGGCAGAAAGGUCCCUGCUGCUUGCCCUGUCCUCGGUGGGCAGAGAGCUCUGACCUCCGCCGGAUGGGCUGCCAAUUCUGAAGCGCUCACCAGAGAUCUGCCUGGGAGGAGAAGCAGAGCCAAGCACUGAGAACUGACAAGUGAGCUCCGGUGAGGACUGCCGCUCCCCCUGCCUUGGUGUGGGACCUCCUGAGCUCCCCUUCCUGUGCUGGGAGUGUUUCUCCUCUCAUCCAGCCAAGCCAGAGACCUCCUAGGGAACAAGCAGGGAAGGUUUAAGCACCGAGAUCUCCCAAGUAAGAAGUGACGUGACAAAAGGAAAUGGCCUCAAGUUGCAGCAGGGAAGGCUUAGGUUGGAUUUGAGGAGAAAUUUCUUCACUGGAAGGGUGGUCAGGCCUAGGAGCAGGCUGCCCAGGGAAGCCCCCAUCCCUGGA
RNAcentral lists this long non-coding RNA (546 nucleotides) under Serinus canaria (Common canary). Its description in RNAcentral is "lncRNA (ENSSCAG00000001162.1)". The record is from RNAcentral. Lineage: Eukaryota; Metazoa; Chordata; Aves; Passeriformes; Fringillidae.